UUGGGGAGCCCUGAAUUUUGGGGGGAUUUUUGGGUGGAUUUUUAGGGGUUUUUGGGGUAUUUCUGGCUGGUUCCUGAGUGGGUUUUUUUGCUAUUUUUGGGAUAUUUCUGGGUGGAUUUUUUGCUAUUUUUGGGGUAUUUCUGGAUGGAUUUUUUGCUAUUUUUGGGAUAUUUCUGGCUGGAUUUUUUGCUAUUUUUGGGAUAUUUCUGGAUGGAUUUUUUGGGAUUUUUGGGAUAUUUCUGGGUGGAUUUUUUUGCUAUUUCUGGGCUAUUUCUGGGAUAUUUCUGGGAUAUUUCUGGGUGGAUUUUUUUGCUAUUUUUGGGAUAUUUCUGGGUGGAUUUUUUUGCUAUUUUUGGGAUAUUUCUGGGUGGAUUUUUUUGCUAUUUCUGGGUGGAUUUUUUUGCUAUUUUUGGGAUAUUUCUGGGUGGAUUUUUUUGC
Molecule: long non-coding RNA, 438 nt
Filed under: Zonotrichia albicollis (white-throated sparrow)
Lineage: Eukaryota; Metazoa; Chordata; Aves; Passeriformes; Passerellidae
Description: lncRNA (ENSZALG00000000069.1)
Source: RNAcentral